Molecule: ribosomal RNA, 757 nt
Filed under: uncultured bacterium
Lineage: Bacteria
Description: bacterial SSU rRNA
Rfam family: Bacterial small subunit ribosomal RNA
Source: RNAcentral
GAUGAACGCUAGCUACAGGCUUAACACAUGCAAGUCGAGGGGCAGCAUGAACUUAGCUUGCUAAGUUUGAUGGCGACCGGCGCACGGGUGAGUAACACGUAUCCAACCUGCCGAUGACUCGGGGAUAGCCUUUCGAAAGAAAGAUUAAUACCCGAUGGCAUAGUUCUUCCGCAUGUAGAACUAUUAAAGAAUUUCGGUCAUCGAUGGGGAUGCGUUCCAUUAGGUUGUUGGCGGGGUAACGGCCCACCAAGCCUUCGAUGGAUAGGGGUUCUGAGAGGAAGGUCCCCCACAUUGGAACUGAGACACGGUCCAAACUCCUACGGGAGGCAGCAGUGAGGAAUAUUGGUCAAUGGACGAGAGUCUGAACCAGCCAAGUAGCGUGAAGGAUGACUGCCCUAUGGGUUGUAAACUUCUUUUAUACGGGAAUAAAGUGAGGCACGUGUGCCUUUUUGUAUGUACCGUAUGAAUAAGGAUCGGCUAACUCCGUGCCAGCAGCCGCGGUAAUACGGAGGAUCCGAGCGUUAUCCGGAUUUAUUGGGUUUAAAGGGAGCGUAGGCGGACGCUUAAGUCAGUUGUGAAAGUUUGCGGCUCAACCGUAAAAUUGCAGUUGAUACUGGGUGUCUUGAGUACAGUAGAGGCAGGCGGAAUUCGUGGUGUAGCGGUGAAAUGCUUAGAUAUCACGAAGAACUCCGAUUGCGAAGGCAGCCUGCUGGACUGUAACUGACGCUGAUGCUCGAAAGUGUGGGUAUCANACAGG